RNAcentral lists this ribosomal RNA (465 nucleotides) under uncultured bacterium. Its description in RNAcentral is "SSU rRNA". It matches the Rfam family "Bacterial small subunit ribosomal RNA", at positions 26 to 518 of the family's 1533-position model. The record is from RNAcentral.
AGAAUCAACGCUGGCGGCGUGCCUAACACAUGCAAGUCGCACGAGAAAGGGUAGCAAUACCUGAGUACAGUGGCGCACGGGUGAGUAACACGUGAAUGAUCUACCUCCGAGUGGGGAAUAACUGAGAGAAAUCUUAGCUAAUACCGCAUAAUACCCACGGGUCAAAGCAGCAAUGCGCUUGGAGAGGAGUUCGCGGCCGAUUAGUUAGUUGGCGGGGUAAUGGCCCACCAAGACGAUGAUCGGUAUCCGGCCUGAGAGGGGCGCGACGGACGACGACUGGAACUGAAACACGGUCCAGACUCCUACGGAGGCAGCAGUGGGGAAUUUUGCGCAAUGGGGGAAACCCUGACGCAGCAACGCCGCGUGGAGGAUGGAAAUCCCUUGGGAUGGUAAACUCCUUUCGAUAGGGAAGAUAAUGACGGUACCUAUAGAAGAAGCCCCGGCUAACUUCGUGCCAGCAGCCGC